Aethalodelphis obliquidens (Pacific white-sided dolphin) is the source of this 900-nucleotide long non-coding RNA. RefSeq lists it as uncharacterized. The record is from RefSeq and is a predicted model, not a curated record. The transcript has 5 exons. Lineage: Eukaryota; Metazoa; Chordata; Mammalia; Artiodactyla; Delphinidae.
CCGCCAUUUUUAGAGCGUGAGGUGCCCAGUGAUCCGACUGACGAGUCCCGGCGUAGUGCGACUCCAGCCGCUCAGGGUUCUGCGACGUACAUUAACUACAGCCGCACUUUGGCCGUCACCACCCAACACACCGACGAUGUCCUCAUGAAACUCGACCUGGUGGGGAUAACUGAAAAGAAAAUAAGAGUCACAAGUGGUCCCAAGGCUUCCAGUUUCUGAUUCCAUCAAGAGCGUAGCCAGAGAGAGGAGAGGGGAGCAGAGACUCCUGGGGCCUGCCUACAGCCCGGAGCCUCGCUGGACUUGAACCCCGAAGACACGACGCUGUGAUGUCAAGGCGGCCAGAUGGUCGAAACAGGCCCUGAUGCCCCCCGCGCGCUCUUGGUCCUGCGGCCCGCCACCACCGCCCUCCAGGAGUGUAGCUGACUGCAGCCCGAAGCCGCUGAGCGCAGAGCGAGCCGAAUGGAAGGACAGCGCAGGCCUACGUAACGCCCUGGUGCCCUUCAGAGAAGACAUAGGACCUCCAAGGGUCUUCUUGUCGUUCGUCGACAGACUUUUGAGGGCCGUUUAUGUAUUCCAAAGUGUACAGGAGGCCAAAAAAUUUUACAAGAUAAAAUUUAAAGAGGGAAAGGAAAGAACUUUUAAAAGAGUGGGCAGAGGGGCUGAGGAAUGAAUGAACUUAGGCAAAUCAAAGUAACUGCAGGUCUCGUUUCAUUUUCUAGAUCUGCGCUGUCCCACAUGGCAGCCACUAGCCACAGCCACGUGAAAUGUGGCUAGUCCGAAUUGAGUUGUGCUGUGAAACACACAUGGUAUUUUGAAGACCUAGCAUGAAAAAAAUAUGUAUUGAUUACAUGUUUAAAUGAUAAUGUGUUUUGAUAUAUUGGUUUAAAUAAAAAUGCCUUA